This is a long non-coding RNA of Alexandromys fortis (reed vole), 3755 nucleotides long. RefSeq lists it as uncharacterized. The record is from RefSeq and is a predicted model, not a curated record. The transcript has 3 exons. Lineage: Eukaryota; Metazoa; Chordata; Mammalia; Rodentia; Cricetidae.
UUCAGAUGCAGAAGACCUUAGAGACGCUGUGGGAGGAUAUCUCUCCUCUCCCUGGGCUCAAGGCAUGCAAAGCGCUACCUUUUCUGGUCUUGACAUACAGAGGACCCAGGUUCAAUUCCUAACAUCCACCUAACAACUCACAACUGUUUGCAACUCCAAUUCCAGAGGAAGCAGCACCCUCACACAGAUACAUAGACAGAAUCUGAACCCUUCUCAAAGAGUCAGUGACUGAAGGAAAGCGUGGAAAGCCCAGAGGACAAACCUCUUCCUCUUCAUGUGAGGAAACUAAUAGAGAAAUCUUGUAAUGAGCCCCAGCCCACACAUCCUGCUUCUUGUGUCCACUGCGGGGUUUCAGCUCCAGACCGCAUCAGACUGCUGAAGCUUGAGUUAUGUCACUUCAUUCUGCCAUGGUGCUGGCCCUCGGUGAGUCCCGGAACAACAGGAGGGAUGGGGUAGGUGAUUUGGGGAAUGGAGUCUAUUUCCCACUCAGGCUUGAAACCAGCUAAGCACAUUCUGGAGUCCCCUGGAAGGAGCCUCUCUCCACUCCGACCCCUACUUGGGGUUUUCACUGCAGACUUAUUGCUAGAAACAGAGAUGGGGCAUGUGGCCCAGUUCAGCUUUAAAAGGAGUGAGUAAGGGCUUUUUUGGAAGGGAAGGUGACCUGAGAACAUUUUUCCCCAGUGUUGGAGGUUGAGCUUAGAGUCCAAUACGUUAGGUAAACACAAUACCACAGAAUCGUAUUUCCUAAAUCCAAAUACUCUUUUUAUUUUUUAAGAUCACAGAUGUUGCAUGCUGUUGAGUACCCUUGUUCAGAAAUUCUUUUAUUUUUAAGAAACUUUUAUUAGUUCUUUGAGAGUUCCUUACUUGACUCAUACUGAACUCUUCCAAGAUCGACCCCUCUUCCCUACCCACUUAACUUUGUGUCCCUCUUUUUCUAAAAACCUUUACUACCAAUCUGUGCUGCCCGAAUAUUCUCGAAUUCAUGGUCUAGCACUGGAGCAUGGUUGACUUUUUAGAGAUUGCACUUCUGCACUUCUUCAGUUUUUUAAAGAGACACUCUCUUACUGUGUAGCUCUGGCUGUUCUAGAACUCACUAUGGAGACUAGCCUAAAUUAGGAACUCACAGAGAUCACCUGCCUCUGCCUCUCAAAUGCUAAAGGUGUGUUCCACUACUCCUGAUUCCAGGGGCUACACUCUUAAAGAAAACUGAGUCUCCCUCUUCCAGCAUCCAGGAAUUCCCAUUAGCUCCAAGGCUAAAACAGGGAGAAUUUGCCUAAAUUUCCUUUCAGUUCUGGGAUUUUGUCUGGCUUGGUUAUACACAGGUCUUGUGCAUGCUAUGAGUUAACAUGUGCAGCUGCCCUCUGUGAUCAGGACACCCUGUAGUCCCCCAAAGUCAUCUACUGCUUCUGGCUUUUGUGAUUUUUCCACCACUUCUUCCUAAAUGACUUCUGAGUCUUGGGAGGAGGAGAUGUAUGGCGUGUAUGCUCCCUUUAAGGUUGAGCAUUCUGCAAACUUAGUCUCUACCCCUUGGUCAGUCAUGUGUCUCUGUGUUAAUCUCCAUCAACUGCAAAUAAAAGCUUCUCAGAUGAGGGGUGCGGAAUGCAUUUAUCCAUGGGCAUAAUGAGGAAUAUAUUUUUGCUAUUACAUAUAUUUAAAAUAUCUUUUUGAUAAUUUUAUAGGUGCAUGCAGUAUAUUUUGAUCAUAUCCAUACCCAUUCUUGCCUGUAACACUACACCAAUUCCCUCUCCCCCUCUGCUUUGUGUCUCCUUUUUACAAACAAUAAUCCAGUGAAUAUAGUUUAUGCUAUUCAUAUACUCAAGGCAAUGGGGCUAUCUACUGGACCCUGGUCACACCCUUAGAGAAAAUUGACUCUUUGUUCCCCAGAAACCACCAACUUUCAAUAGUCCCUCAGCUAAGACCUUUUGAACCUUUCUCCCAUACAUCCCAGCCCUCAUUUUACUUUUUCUCAGUUUUUUCCAUUUAUUUUAUGGGCCUCUCAUACAGUAUAUCCUGACAGAAGUUUCCUCCCUCCAUCGCUCCCAUUUCCCCCCCUUACCCAGUCUUCCCCAGAUCCUCUGCUGUGUCCCUUUAGAAAAGAGCAGUUCUCACAGUAAUAUCAACCAAAUAUGGCAUGACAUGAUGCAAUACGACUAGGAGCAAACCCUCAUAUCAAGGCUCGACAAGACAACCUAGUAGGAGUGAAGAGUUCUAAGGGCAGGCAAAAGAGUCAGAGGCACAUCAGCUCCUACUGUUAGGAGUUUCACAAAAACCCCAAGAUAAGCAACUCUAAUGUAUAUACAGAGGACCUAGGCAGACCCAUGCAGGUUCUGAGACUUUUGCUUCAGUCUUUGUGAGGCCCUAUGAACCCUGUUUAGUUGAUUCUGUGCGCCAUAUUCUCUUGGUGUCCUCAACCCUUCAGACUCCUGAAAUCCUUCUUCUCAUUGGGGGUUCUCUGAGCUCCACCUAGUGAUUGACUGUGGGUCUCUAUAUUUGCUCCUUUCAUCUGCCAGAGGAAGUAAACAACUGGGCUAGGCUCUGAACUAAACCCAUUUUAUUUUUGGUUUUGAGACACGAUCUCACUAAGAUUUUCAGGCUGACUUUGAACUUACUUUGUGGCCCAACUAAUACUUGAAUAUGUAACUCAGUUGAGUAGCUGGGAUGUGAAGUCUCUUUCUCUACCUUAAGGAUAUUUAAGAGUUCUUUCACAAGAAGAAGGAGGACUUUACUCUGACAUUAAUGUUGUAGGAGGCUGCUUGUUCAUUUCCCAGCUGCUCAGACUCUCAAUCACACAAAAACUGUAUUAAUUAAAUCACUGCUUGGCCAAUCACUACAGCAUAUUCCUAGCAAGCUCUUACAUAUUAAAUUAACCCAUUUCUAUUAUUUUAUAUUUUACCAUGAGGCUCAUGGCCUACCAUCAAGGUUCCAGCUAGCAGCUUGUGUCUUUCCCCUCUUGCGUCUACAUGGUGUCUCCUGUCUCUGCCUUCUUUCUCCCAGCAUUAAGUUUAGUUUUCCCCACCAACCUCUAUUCUGCCCUGUACAGGCCCAAAAUAGUUUUUUUUUUUUUUAUUAACCAAUGCUGUUCACACCACAAGAGGGGAAUUCCACAUCACCCAUUCUUUUUGUUUAAAUAAAAUGGAAGCUUUUAAUUUUAACAUAGUAAAAUUACAUCUACAAAACAGGUAUCAAGCGAGAAUUACAGUUACAAUAUUUGUAUCUACUUUAUCUUUUAUAAUAACCAAGGAAAGCUAUAAUUAUAACUAUUUAUUCUUCAACUCCAUCAAAGGCAACAAAAGGAUAAUAGGAAGUGCAUUGUAAGCCACUUCCAAAACUCUAGAAUUGACAGAGACAUCUUGCUGCCUGGACAGUCACACAAAUUCUUCUGUAUUAUUGGGGCAUCCAAUCUUUAGCCUACAGGCCCAUAGUAUCCAGCAGACUUUUCCAUGAAGCAGGAAAUUUCAAAGACAGUUCUGUCUAUAUUGGCAGCUUGUCAGUCACUUUCUUCUGUGUUCUGCGAAAUGUCUUGUAGACUCUUUUAUGAAGCAGUAACCCCGAAAGACAAUCUCACCUGUAGGCAAGUUCAGCAGUUAUUUAUCUGUGGGUCCUGCAUGCCCAGUUAAUACAGCAUAACAUCAAUCAGUCCAGGCAAGAGCAGUUUUUUGCCCAAACGGCUAACCAACUCUAUAAGGAGCUUCUUUGAUGCCCAUCAGCCUCUUGAAGUAAUUAGUGCUGCCAGAAGCAGACGUGUCUCAUUGUCA